Molecule: ribosomal RNA, 454 nt
Filed under: uncultured bacterium
Lineage: Bacteria
Description: partial 16S ribosomal RNA
Rfam family: Bacterial small subunit ribosomal RNA
Source: RNAcentral
GAUGAACGCUGACAGAAUGCUUAACACAUGCAAGUCAACUUGAACUUCGGUUUGGGUGGCGGACGGGUGAGUAACGCGUAAAGAACUUGCCUCACAGAUAGGGACAACAUUUGGAAACGAAUGCUAAUACCUGAUAUUAUGAUUAUAUGGCAUCGUAUAAUUAUGAAAGCUAUAUGCGCUGUGAGAGAGCUUUGCGUCCCAUUAGCUAGUUGGAGAGGUAACGGCUCACCAAGGCGAUGAUGGGUAGCCGGCCUGAGAGGGUGAUCGGCCACAAGGGGACUGAGACACGGCCCUUACUCCUACGGGAGGCAGCAGUGGGGAAUAUUGGACAAUGGACCAAGAGUCUGAUCCAGCAAUUCUGUGUGCACAAUGAAGUUUUUCGGAAUGUAAAGUGCUUUCAGUUGGGAAGAAAAAAAUGACGGUACCAACAGAAGAAGUGACGGCUAAAUACGUG